GGAAGACUCCAGAAUCCACUCUGGCUGGAAUCCGGUGGAUACAGCAGUGUUACAGAACAGUUCUCCACAGUCACUGUCCACAUGGGUCAGUGGGACCAAGCAGCACUCCGCUAAUGUGAGACUCUGACCAGCAACAUCCAGCAAGACCCAGACAGCGUUUUCUAUCUCCCAGCUGGUGUUUUUUUGUUUGUCUGUGACUGGAGAGUCAGAUUUUUGUUGAGGCUGGAGGAACAGCCUCACACUUGCAGAGGUUAAUACACGCUACUGAUCCCUGAUGGGAGAAUCAUCACCUCUGCCAACAAAGAAGCCUGGUGGAUGUUUGUUUACAGUCUGAUGAUGGGACAUCAUGCUCUGCAUCUUCAAUUCUUUUUGCAGGAUCAGAAAACAAAACCAGGAGGCGCGUAAAUGUUUCUUCUCCAAUUGGAUGAUGAUAAGACUGUGACACGGGAUGCCACCUUUAGUCUUGUGAUGAAGCAAAGCUCAGGAAGAAGUGUGAUUAAAUGGUACCCACAUGUGUGCUGCUGAGAAGGAUGUACAGGGGCACCUGCAGCCAAAUCCAAGCCUCCUCAGCAACUUCAAGUCUGUCAACGUGCUGAGGUCACAGAAACAAGAAAAGCAGCUUCAGACUUCAGAGUGUUGUUUACAGUUUUCUGUCAUCAUGAUCUCCCCUGAAGUUUAUCACUAUUAUACAAGC
Molecule: long non-coding RNA, 694 nt
Organism: Oreochromis niloticus (Nile tilapia)
Lineage: Eukaryota; Metazoa; Chordata; Actinopteri; Cichliformes; Cichlidae
Exons: 5
Source: RefSeq, a predicted model, not a curated record